GGUCAUGCUGCUGCAGCCUCACU
Molecule: microRNA, 23 nt
Filed under: Zea mays
Lineage: Eukaryota; Viridiplantae; Streptophyta; Magnoliopsida; Poales; Poaceae
Description: zma-miR167d-3p
Gene: zma-miR167d-3p
Source: miRBase by way of RNAcentral